UAGGGAAUCUUCGGCAAUGGCCGGAAGUCUGACCGAGCAACGCCGCGUGAGUGAAGAAGGUUUUCGGAUCGUAAAGCUCUGUUGUUAGAGAAGAACGUUGGUAGGAGUGGAAAAUCUACCAAGUGACGGUAACUAACCAGAAAGGGACGGCUAACUACGUGCCAGCAGCCGCGGUAAUACGUAGGUCCCGAGCGUUGUCCGGAUUUAUUGGGCGUAAAGCGAGCGCAGGCGGUUCUUUAAGUCUGAAGUUAAAGGCAGUGGCUUAACCAUUGUACGCUUUGGAAACUGGAGGAGUUGAGUGCAGAAGGGGAGGGUGGAAUUACAGGUGUGGCGGUGAAAUGCGUAGAUAUAUGGAGGAACACCGGUGGCGAAGGCGGCUCUCUGGUCUGUAACUGACGCGGAGGCUAGAAGGGGUGGGGAGCAAACAGG
This 429-nucleotide ribosomal RNA is filed under the name Bacillota bacterium. RNAcentral describes it as "Firmicutes bacterium partial 16S ribosomal RNA". It matches the Rfam family "Bacterial small subunit ribosomal RNA", at positions 355 to 776 of the family's 1533-position model. Lineage: Bacteria; Bacillati; Bacillota. The record is from RNAcentral.